UUAAGUGACUAAGCGUACACGGUGGAUGCCUUGGCAGUUGGAGGCGAUGAAGGACGUAUUAACUUGCGAUAAGCCUAGUCAAGCUAGUAAAAAGCACUUGAGACUAGGAUUUCCGAAUGGGGAAACCCACCUGCUUGCAGGUAUCGUUAACUGAAUACAUAGGUUAACGAGGCGAACGCGGAGAACUGAAACAUCUAAGUACCCGUAGGAAAAGAAAUCAACCGAGAUUCCGAAAGUAGCGGCGAGCGAAAUCGGAACAGCCCUUAAGCUUAUUAUGUGUUAAUGGAAGGCUCUGGAAAGUGCCACGAUACAGGGUGAUAGUCCCGUACAUGAAAAGACAUUUUAAGUGAAAUCGAGUAGGUCGGAGCACGUGAAACUUUGACUGAAUAUAGGUGGACCAUCAUCUAAGGCUAAAUACUCCCAACUGACCGAUAGUGAACCAGUACCGUGAGGGAAAGGCGAAAAGAACCCCUGUGAGGGGAGUGAAAUAGAACCUGAAACCGUGUACGUACAAGCAGUAGGAGCAGACUUGUUCUGUGACUGCGUACCUUUUGUAUAAUGGGUCAGCGACUUAUAUUUUGUAGCGAGGUUAACCGAUUAGGGUAGCCGUAGGGAAACCGAGUCUUAACUGGGCGAAUAGUUGCAAGGUAUAGACCCGAAACCCGGUGAUCUAGCCAUGGGCAGGUUGAAGGUUGAGUAACAUCAACUGGAGGACCGAACCGACUAAUGUUGAAAAAUUAGCGGAUGACUUGUGGCUGGGGGUGAAAGGCCAAUCAAACCGGGAGAUAUCUGGUUCUCCUCGAAAGCUAUUUAGGUAGCGCCUCGAGCGAAUACCAUUGGGGGUAGAGCACUGUUAAGGCUAGGGGGUCAUCCCGACUUACCAACCCUUUGCAAACUCCGAAUACCGUAAAGUAAUAUCCGGGAGACACACGGCGGGUGCUAACGUCCGUCGUGAAGAGGGAAACAACCCAGACCGCCAGCUAAGGUCCCAAAGUCAUAGUUAAGUGGGAAACGAUGUGGAAAGGCCCAGACAGCCAGGAGGUUGGCUUAGAAGCAGCCAUCCUUUAAAGAAAGCGUAAUAGCUCACUGGUCGAGUCGGUCUGCGCGGAAGAUGUAACGGGGCUAAACUAUGCACCGAAGCUGCGGAUUCAUACUUUGUAUGAGUGGUAGGGGAGCGUUCUGUAAGCGGUUGAAGGUGUACCGGGAGGUAUGCUGGACGUAUCAGAAGUGCGAAUGCUGACAUGAGUAACGAUAAUGCGGGUGAAAAACCCGCACGCCGGAAGACCAAGGGUUCCUAUCCCAUGUUAAUCAGGGUAGGGUAAGUCGACCCCUAAGGCGAGGCCGAAAGGCGUAGUCGAUGGGAAACGGAUUAAUAUUUCCGUACUUGGUAUAAUUGCGAUGGGGGGACGGAGAAGGCUAAGCAAGCAUGGCGAUGGUUGUCCAUGUGAAAGUGAGUAGGGCGUUUGUUUAGGUAAAUCCGGACGAACAUUAAACCUGAGACACGAGACGAGUCACUACGGUGAUGAAGUUGCUGAUGCCAUACUUCCAGGAAAAGCCUCUAAGCUUCAGAUUAUACCGAAUCGUACCCCAAACCGACACAGGUGGUCAGGUAGAGAAUACUAAGGCGCUUGAGAGAACUCGGGUGAAGGAACUAGGCAAAAUGGUACCGUAACUUCGGGAGAAGGUACGCCGGCUUUGGUGAUGGGACUUGCUCCCUAAGCUGAGGCUGGUCGAAGUGACCAGGUGGCUGCGACUGUUUAUUAAAAACAUAGCACUCUGCAAACACGUAAGUGGACGUAUAGGGUGUGACGCCUGCCCGGUGCCGGAAGGUUAAUUGAUGGGGUUAGCUUCGGCGAAGCUCUUGAUCGAAGCCCCGGUAAACGGCGGCCGUAACUAUAACGGUCCUAAGGUAGCGAAAUUCCUUGUCGGGUAAGUUCCGACCUGCACGAAUGGUGUAACCAUGGCCACGCUGUCUCCACCCGAGACUCAGUGAAAUUGAAAUCGCAGUGAAGAUGCUGUGUACCCGCGGCUAGACGGAAAGACCCCGUGAACCUUUACUACAGCUUGGCACUGAACAUUGAACCUACAUGUGUAGGAUAGGUGGGAGACUUUGAAG
RNAcentral lists this ribosomal RNA (2116 nucleotides) under marine metagenome. RNAcentral describes it as "bacterial LSU rRNA". It matches the Rfam family "Bacterial large subunit ribosomal RNA", at positions 1 to 2162 of the family's 2925-position model. The record is from RNAcentral.